RNAcentral lists this long non-coding RNA (286 nucleotides) under Polistes fuscatus (common paper wasp). RNAcentral's name for it is "uncharacterized LOC122519124". The record is from RNAcentral. Lineage: Eukaryota; Metazoa; Arthropoda; Insecta; Hymenoptera; Vespidae.
UAACCCUUUAGCUUACAAAGACGUCUCAGAGGCGUCACAAGGUUAUCGGACCAAAAACGAAUAAGACGCCUCAGAGGCGUCGCAAGUCUACCGGGCGAAAAAAACAAAACAUUUCAGAAUAUUGUUUGGGCGGCCGUUCCAAAUAUGAAUGUAAGAAUAUUUUUCGUAACUCUAGUUUUACACUUUCUUACUCUGAUAUUCUUACUCUCUACCUUGAUUCUUUUCCCUCUUCAUACUUAUACUCUGUUAUUGUGUAAUAAAGGACGAUAUUUCUUAUAUCUCUACC